RNAcentral lists this ribosomal RNA (321 nucleotides) under uncultured eukaryote. Its description in RNAcentral is "partial 18S ribosomal RNA". It matches the Rfam family "Eukaryotic small subunit ribosomal RNA", at positions 1470 to 1796 of the family's 1831-position model. The record is from RNAcentral.
CCCUUAGAUGUCCUGGGCCGCACGCGCGCUACACUGACACGUUCAACAAGCCUCCUAGUUCGACAGGAUUUGGGAAAUCUUUGAACGCAUGUCGUGAUAGGGAUAGAUCAUUGCAAUUAUUGAUCUUGAACGAGGAAUUCCUAGUAAACGCGAGUCAUCAGCUCGCAUUGAUUACGUCCCUGCCCUUUGUACACACCGCCCGUCGCACCUACCGAUUGAAUGUUUCGGUGAAGAUUCCGGAUAGGACUUUUUUGAUUUAUUUCAAUUCUGUCUUAAAAGCUAUCUAAACCUCAACAUUUAGAGGAAGGUGAAGUCGUAACA